RNAcentral lists this ribosomal RNA (253 nucleotides) under uncultured bacterium. Its description in RNAcentral is "partial 16S ribosomal RNA". It matches the Rfam family "Bacterial small subunit ribosomal RNA", at positions 524 to 776 of the family's 1533-position model. The record is from RNAcentral.
UACGUAGGGCGCAAGCGUUAUCCGGAAUUAUUGGGCGUAAAGAGCUCGUAGGCGGUUUGUCGCGUCGGCUGUGAAAGCCCGGGGCUCAACUCCGGGUCUGCAGUGGAUACGGGCAGACUAGAGUGAUGCAGGGGAGACUGGAAUUCCUGGUGUAGCGGUGAAAUGCGCAGAUAUCAGGAGGAACACCGAUGGCGAUGGCAGGUCUCUGGGCAUUAACUGACGCUGAGGAGCGAAAGCGUGGGGAGCGAACAGG